Molecule: ribosomal RNA, 253 nt
Filed under: uncultured bacterium
Lineage: Bacteria
Description: partial 16S ribosomal RNA
Rfam family: Bacterial small subunit ribosomal RNA
Source: RNAcentral
CACGUAGGGGGCGAGCGUUGUCCGGAUUUAUUGGGCGUAAAGAGCUCGUAGGCGGUUUGUUGCGUCGGCUGUGAAAUCCCGAGGCUCAACCUCGGGUCUGCAGUCGAUACGAGCAAACUAGAGUGUUGCAGGGGAGACUGGAAUUCCUGGUGUAGCGGUGAAAUGCGCAGAUAUCAGGAGGAACACCGGUGGCGAAGGCGGGUCUCUGGGCAACAACUGACGCUGAGGAGCGAAAGCGUGGGGAGCGAACAGG